GAUGAAGAACGUAGCGAAAUGCGAUACGUAAUGUGAAUUGCAGAAUUCAGUGAAUCAUCGAAUCUUUGAACGCAUAUUGCGCUCUCUGGUAUUCCGGAGAGCAUGCUUGUUUGAGUAUCAGUAAACACCUCAACUUCCAUAUCUUUUUUGAAAUGGGAGUUGGACUUGAGUGAUCCCAACGCUUUUCCUCACCGAAAAGUGGCGGGUUACUUGAAAUGCAGGUGCAGCUGGACUUUUCUCUGAGCUAUAAGCAUAUCUAUUUAGUCUGCCUAAAAAACAGAUUAUUACCUAUGCUGCAGCUAACAUAAAGGAGAUUAGUUCUUGUGCUGACUGAUGCAGGAUUCACAAAGACAGCUUCGGCCGACUUUGUAAACUCGAUCUCAAAUCAAGUAAGACUACCCGCUGAACUUAAGCAGAUCAAUAAGCGGAGGA
Molecule: unclassified non-coding RNA, 432 nt
Filed under: soil metagenome
Description: partial contains 5.8S ribosomal RNA, internal transcribed spacer 2, and large subunit ribosomal RNA
Rfam family: 5.8S ribosomal RNA (bases 1-120)
Source: RNAcentral